RNAcentral lists this ribosomal RNA (320 nucleotides) under uncultured bacterium. RNAcentral's name for it is "bacterial SSU rRNA". It matches the Rfam family "Bacterial small subunit ribosomal RNA", at positions 28 to 334 of the family's 1533-position model. The record is from RNAcentral.
GAUGAACGCUAGCGACAGGCUUAACACAUGCAAGUCGAGGGGCAGCGGGGGAUGCGUUCGCGCAUUCUGCCGGCGACCGGCGCACGGGUGAGUAACACGUAUGCAACCUGCCCCGUCCAGGGGGAUAAUCGGCGGAAACGCCGUCUAAUACCGCGUAUAUCGAUUCCGGGCAUCCGGGAUUGAAGAAAGGGCCUUAGGGUCCGGGACGGGAUGGGCAUGCGGCGCAUUAGGAAGUUGGCGGUGUAACGGACCACCAAUCCGUCGAUGCGUAGGGGUUCUGAGAGGAAGGUCCCCCACAUUGGAACUGAGACACGGUCCAA